This 2922-nucleotide ribosomal RNA is filed under the name Lactiplantibacillus plantarum subsp. plantarum. RNAcentral's name for it is "Lactobacillus plantarum subsp. plantarum 23S ribosomal RNA". It matches the Rfam family "Bacterial large subunit ribosomal RNA". The record is from RNAcentral. Lineage: Bacteria; Bacillati; Bacillota; Bacilli; Lactobacillales; Lactobacillaceae.
AGGUUAAGUUAACAAGGGCGCAUGGUGAAUGCCUUGGCACUAGGAGCCGAUGAAGGACGGGACUAACACCGAUAUGCUUCGGGGAGCUGUACGUAAGCUAUGAUCCGGAGAUUUCCGAAUGGGGCAACCCAGCAGUUUUAAUCAACUGUUACCACUAGAUGAAUUCAUAGUCUAGUUGGAGGUAAACGCUGUGAACUGAAACAUCUCAUUAGCAGCAGGAAUAUAAAGAAAUUUCGAUUCCCUAAGUAGCGGCGAGCGAACGGGGAACAGCCCAAACCAAAGUGCUUGCACUUUGGGGUUGUAGGACUGAACAUUUGAGUUACCAAAGAACUUGAUAGUCGAAGGAUUUGGGAAAAUCCGCCAUAGAUGGUGAUAGCCCAGUAGAUUAAAUCAAAUUCUCUCAGUUCAGGAUCCUGAGUACGGCGGAACACGUGAAAUUCCGUCGGAAUCCGGGAGGACCAUCUCCCAAGGCUAAAUACUACCUAGUGACCGAUAGUGAACCAGUACCGUGAGGGAAAGGUGAAAAGCACCCCGGGAGGGGAGUGAAAUAGUUCCUGAAACCAUGUGCCUACAAUAAGUCAGAGCGCGUUAAUGCGUGAUGGCGUGCCUUUUGUAGAAUGAACCGGCGAGUUAUGAUCCCGUGCAAGGUUAAGACUAAAAAGUCGGAGCCGUAGCGAAAGCGAGUCUGAAAUGGGCGUUUUGAGUACGAGGUUAUAGACCCGAAACCAGGUGACCUAUCCAUGUCCAGGUUGAAGGUGCGGUAAAACGCACUGGAGGACCGAACCCGUGUAAGUUGAAAAUUGCUGGGAUGAGGUGUGGAUAGCGGUGAAAUUCCAAACGAACUUGGAGAUAGCUGGUUCUCUCCGAAAUAGCUUUAGGGCUAGCCUCGGAAUUAGGAUCAUGGAGGUAGAGCACUAUUUGGACUAGGGGCCCAUCUUGGGUUACUGAAUUCAGAUAAACUCCGAAUGCCAUUGAUUCAUAUCCGGGAGUCAGACGAUGAGUGAUAAGAUCCACCGUCGAAAGGGGAACAGCCCAGACCAUCAGUUAAGGUCCCUAAAUGUAUGCUAAGUGGAAAAGGAUGUGGAGUUGCAUAGACAACUAGGAUGUUGGCUCAGAAGCAGCCACCAUUUAAAGAGUGCGUAAUAGCUCACUAGUCGAGUGAUCCUGCGCCGAAAAUGUACCGGGGCUAAGCAUACUACCGAAACCAUGGAUGCGACCAUUAGGUCGCGUGAUAGGAGAGCGUUCUAAGGGCGGUGAAGCAAGAUCGUGAGGACUUGUGGAGCGCUUAGAAGUGAGAAUGCCGGUAUGAGUAGCGAAAGAUAGGUGAGAAUCCUAUCCACCGAAUGACUAAGGUUUCCUGGGGAAGGCUCGUCCUCCCAGGGUUAGUCGGGACCUAAGUCGAGGCCGAGAGGCGUAGACGAUGGAUAACAGGUUGAGAUUCCUGUACUAGUUAAGUGCGUUUGAGCAAUGGAGGGACGCAGGAGGCUAAGAUGUGCAUUCUGUUGGAUUAGAAUGUCCAAGCAGUAAGUCUUGUGAAGAGUCAAAUGCUUUUCACUUUAAGGACAAGCUGUGAUGGGGAGCGAAAUUUAGUAGCGAAGCGUCUGAUGUCACACUGCCGAGAAAAGCUUCUAGUGAGUACUUAACUACCCGUACCGCAAACCGACACAGGUAGUCGAGGAGAGAAUCCUAAGGUGAGCGAGUGAACUCUCGUUAAGGAACUCGGCAAAAUGACCCCGUAACUUCGGGAGAAGGGGUGCUGAUCGCAAGAUCAGCCGCAGUGAAUAGGCCCAGGCGACUGUUUAUCAAAAACACAGGUCUCUGCAAAAUCGUAAGAUGACGUAUAGGGGCUGACGCCUGCCCGGUGCUGGAAGGUUAAAAGGAUGGGUUAGCUUCGGCGAAGCUCAGAAUUGAAGCCCCAGUAAACGGCGGCCGUAACUAUAACGGUCCUAAGGUAGCGAAAUUCCUUGUCGGGUAAGUUCCGACCCGCACGAAAGGCGUAACGAUCUGGGCACUGUCUCAACGAGAGACUCGGUGAAAUUAUAUUGUCCGUGAAGAUGCGGACUACCCGCGACAGGACGGAAAGACCCCAUGGAGCUUUACUGUAGCUUGAUAUUGAGUGUUUGUACAGCUUGUACAGGAUAGGUAGGAGCCAUAGAAACCGGAACGCUAGUUUCGGUGGAGGCGUUGGUGGGAUACUACCCUCGCUGUAUGACCACUCUAACCCGCACCACUAAUCGUGGUGGGAGACAGUGUCAGGUGGGCAGUUUGACUGGGGCGGUCGCCUCCUAAAAAGUAACGGAGGCGCCCAAAGGUUCCCUCAGAAUGGUUGGAAAUCAUUCGCAGAGUGUAAAGGCACAAGGGAGCUUGACUGCGAGACAGACAGGUCGAGCAGGGACGAAAGUCGGGCUUAGUGAUCCGGUGGUACCGUAUGGAAGGGCCAUCGCUCAACGGAUAAAAGCUACCCUGGGGAUAACAGGCUUAUCUCCCCAAGAGUCCACAUCGACGGGGAGGUUUGGCACCUCGAUGUCGGCUCAUCGCAUCCUGGGGCUGUAGUCGGUCCCAAGGGUUGGGCUGUUCGCCCAUUAAAGCGGUACGCGAGCUGGGUUCAGAACGUCGUGAGACAGUUCGGUCCCUAUCCGUCGCGGGCGUAGGAAAUUUGAGAGGACCUGUCCUUAGUACGAGAGGACCGGGAUGGACAUACCUCUGGUGUACCAGUUGUGCCGCCAGGCGCAUCGCUGGGUAGCUACGUAUGGAUGUGAUAAACGCUGAAAGCAUCUAAGUGUGAAACACACCUCGAGAUGAGAUUUCCCAUUCCUUUAUGGAAGUAAGACCCCUGAAAGAUGAUCAGGUAGAUAGGUUAGAAGUGGCAGUGCGGUGACGCAUGAAGCGGACUAAUACUAAUCGGUCGAGGACUUAACCAAG